This 74-nucleotide transfer RNA is filed under the name Planctomycetota bacterium. RNAcentral's name for it is "tRNA-Pro". It matches the Rfam family "tRNA". From Rfam's summary of the family: Transfer RNA (tRNA) molecules are approximately 80 nucleotides in length. Their secondary structure includes four short double-helical elements and three loops (D, anti-codon, and T loops). Lineage: Bacteria; Pseudomonadati; Planctomycetota. The record is from RNAcentral.
CGGGGCAUAGCUCAGCCUGGUAGAGCGCUUGGUUCGGGACCAAGAGGUCGCAGGUUCAAUUCCUGUUGCCCCGA